UACAGAGACUGCAAGCGUUAUUCGGAUUCACUGGGCGUAAAGGGUGCGCAGGCGGCCAAGUGUGUCAGGUGUGAAAUCCCGAGGCUUAACCUCGGAACUGCGCCUGAAACUACUUGGCUAGAGUACUGGAGAGGGUAACGGAAUUCACGGUGUAGCAGUGAAAUGCGUAGAUAUCGUGAGGAACACCAGAGGCGAAGGCGGUUACCUGGACAGUUACUUACGCUCAGGCACGAAAGCGUGGGGAGCAAAAGGG
This 253-nucleotide ribosomal RNA is filed under the name uncultured bacterium. RNAcentral describes it as "partial 16S ribosomal RNA". It matches the Rfam family "Bacterial small subunit ribosomal RNA", at positions 524 to 776 of the family's 1533-position model. The record is from RNAcentral.